UACGUAGGGUGCGAGCGUUGUCCGGAAUUACUGGGCGUAAAGAGCUCGUAGGUGGUUUGUCGCGUCGUCUGUGAAAUUCCGGGGCUUAACUCCGGGCGUGCAGGCGAUACGGGCAUAACUUGAGUGCUGUAGGGGAGACUGGAAUUCCUGGUGUAGCGGUGAAAUGCGCAGAUAUCAGGAGGAACACCGAUGGCGAAGGCAGGUCUCUGGGCAGUAACUGACGCUGAGGAGCGAAAGCAUGGGUAGCGAACAGG
Molecule: ribosomal RNA, 254 nt
Filed under: uncultured bacterium
Lineage: Bacteria
Description: partial 16S ribosomal RNA
Rfam family: Bacterial small subunit ribosomal RNA
Source: RNAcentral